Molecule: ribosomal RNA, 253 nt
Filed under: uncultured bacterium
Lineage: Bacteria
Description: partial 16S ribosomal RNA
Rfam family: Bacterial small subunit ribosomal RNA
Source: RNAcentral
UACGGAGGGUGCGAGCGUUGUCCGGAAUCACUGGGCGUAAAGGGCGCGUAGGCGGCCUGAUAAGUAGGGGGUGAAAUCCUGCGGCUUAACCGCAGGGCUGCCUUCUAAACUGUCGGGCUAGAGCACGGUAGAGGCAGAUGGAAUUCCCGGUGUAGCGGUGGAAUGCGUAGAGAUCGGGAAGAACACCAAUAGCGAAGGCAGCUCGCUGGGACGUUACUGACACUGAGGCGCGAAAGCGUGGGGAGCGAACAGG